GAUGAACGCUGGCGGCGUGCUUAACACAUGCAAGUCGAGCGAAGCACUUUGAAGUUUUCGGACAUUAAAGUGACUGAGCGGCGGACGGGUGAGUAACGCGUGGGUAACCUGCCUCAUACAGGGGGAUAACAGUUAGAAAUGACUGCUAAUACCGCAUAAGCACACAGGAUUGCAUGAUCCAGUGUGAAAAACUCCGGUGGUAUGAGAUGGACCCGCGUCUGAUUAGGUAGUUGGUGAGGUAACGGCUCACCAAGCCGACGAUCAGUAGCCGACCUGAGAGGGCGACCGGCCACAUUGGGACUGAGACACGGCCCAAACUCCUACGGGAGGCAGCAGUGGGGAAUAUUGCACAAUGGGGGAAACCCUGAUGCAGCGACGCCGCGUGAAGGAAGAAGUAUUUCGGUAUGUAAACUUCUAUCAGCAGGGAAGAAAAUG
RNAcentral lists this ribosomal RNA (435 nucleotides) under uncultured bacterium. Its description in RNAcentral is "bacterial SSU rRNA". It matches the Rfam family "Bacterial small subunit ribosomal RNA", at positions 28 to 453 of the family's 1533-position model. The record is from RNAcentral.